Molecule: ribosomal RNA, 991 nt
Filed under: Brachybacterium sp. A245R2A
Lineage: Bacteria; Bacillati; Actinomycetota; Actinomycetes; Micrococcales; Dermabacteraceae
Description: bacterial SSU rRNA
Rfam family: Bacterial small subunit ribosomal RNA
Source: RNAcentral
GGGCGGCGUGCUUAACACAUGCAAGUCGAACGAUGACGGUGGUGCUUGCACCGCCUGAUUAGUGGCGAACGGGUGAGUAACACGUGAGUAACCUGCCCUCCACUUCGGGAUAACCUCGGGAAAUCGUGGCUAAUACCGGAUAUGAGCACUCAUCGCAUGGUGGGUGUUGGAAAGAUUUAUCGGUGGGGGAUGGACUCGCGGCCUAUCAGUUUGUUGGUGAGGUGAUGGCUCACCAAGACGAUGACGGGUAGCCGGCCUGAGAGGGCGACCGGCCACACUGGGACUGAGACACGGCCCAGACUCCUACGGGAGGCAGCAGUGGGGAAUAUUGCACAAUGGGCGAAAGCCUGAUGCAGCGACGCCGCGUGGGGGAUGACGGCCUUCGGGUUGUAAACCCCUUUCAGUAGGGAAGAAGCGAGAGUGACGGUACCUGCAGAAGAAGCGCCGGCUAACUACGUGCCAGCAGCCGCGGUAAUACGUAGGGCGCAAGCGUUGUCCGGAAUUAUUGGGCGUAAAGAGCUUGUAGGUGGCUUGUCGCGUCUGCCGUGAAAACCCGAGGCUCAACCUCGGGCGUGCGGUGGGUACGGGCAGGCUAGAGUGUGGUAGGGGAGACUGGAACUCCUGGUGUAGCGGUGAAAUGCGCAGAUAUCAGGAAGAACACCGAUGGCGAAGGCAGGUCUCUGGGCCAUUACUGACACUGAGAAGCGAAAGCAUGGGUAGCGAACAGGAUUAGAUACCCUGGUAGUCCAUGCCGUAAACGUUGGGCACUAGGUGUGGGGGACAUUCCACGUUUUCCGCGCCGUAGCUAACGCAUUAAGUGCCCCGCCUGGGGAGUACGGCCGCAAGGCUAAAACUCAAGGAAUUGACGGGGGCCCGCACAAGCGGCGGAGCAUGCUGAUUAAUUUCGAUGCAACGCGAAGAACCUUACCAAGGCUUGACAUGCCACUGGACGGCUGCAGAGAUGUGGCUUUCUUUGGACUGGUGCCACAGG